RNAcentral lists this ribosomal RNA (460 nucleotides) under uncultured bacterium. Its description in RNAcentral is "partial 16S ribosomal RNA". It matches the Rfam family "Bacterial small subunit ribosomal RNA", at positions 338 to 795 of the family's 1533-position model. The record is from RNAcentral.
CCUACGGGAGGCAGCAGUGAGGAAUAUUGGUCAAUGGGCGCAAGCCUGAACCAGCCAAGUCGCGUGAGGGAUGACGGUCCUAUGGAUUGUAAACCUCUUUUGUCGGGGAGCAAGGCCCACCACGUGUGGCGGGAAGGAGAGUACCCGAAGAAAAAGCUUCGGCAAACUCCGUCCCAGAGCCCGCGGUAUUACGGAGGUUGCGAGAUUUAUCCGGUUUUAUUGGUUUAAAGGGGUGCGUAGGGGGAAGUUUAAGUCAGCGGUAAAAUGUCGGGGCUCAACACCGGCCUGCCGUUGAAACUGGUAUUCUUGAGUGAGCGAGAAGUAUGCGGAAUGCGUGGUGUAGCGGUGUAAUGCAUAGAUAUCACGAAGAACUCCGAUUGCGAAGGCAGCAUACCGGCGCUCAACUGACGCUGAGGCACGAAAGCGUGGGGAUCGAACAGGAUUAGAUACCCCAGUAGUC